Chlorocebus sabaeus (green monkey) is the source of this 557-nucleotide long non-coding RNA. RefSeq lists it as uncharacterized. The record is from RefSeq and is a predicted model, not a curated record. NCBI's taxonomy places the organism in Eukaryota, Metazoa, Chordata, Mammalia, Primates, Cercopithecidae.
CCCCGUAAACACCUGUCACUCUCCCGGUUUGCAGAGAUGCUAGGAGGCUAAUGAGAUCACAUGUAUGGAAUGUAUGGGAGCUUCUAAAAGAAAUAAACCAGAUACAUUCAUGAUAGUGUUAUCAUCACCUCAGCCAUCUGGAAGUCAACUUCCUAGCAGACAUAGGGGUUCUGAGCAGGGCAGAAGCCAGAAACUCAGAAAUAAGGGAAAAACAAAGAAAGGUAUUUGGCCCCAGAGAAAGGAGGAAGGAGAUACAGAAAGGCCUGGAGAGUGAAAGAUAGCAUGAUACAGGACGUGCUGGGCUGCGAAGGAGACCCCCACACCCCCCUUGGAGGGAAUGACAGGGAAAGUUCCUUCUACGGAAUAAAUCAAGUCUGCUCAGAAAGAAAUAGAAUUAAAGCACAGGCAUUUAAUCAAAUCGGGCAAGUCACUCCAAGCUUACCAAGUGUUGGGGCCUCUUCCAGCUCUACUACUCACGGAGAUGCAGACGCUGCUAACUCACUCCCAUUCUCCUCUCAUCUUCACCAUCAGAAGUAGAGUGGGUGAUGCCUGGCUUA